RNAcentral lists this transfer RNA (71 nucleotides) under Marmota monax (woodchuck). RNAcentral's name for it is "tRNA.Ala". The record is from RNAcentral. Lineage: Eukaryota; Metazoa; Chordata; Mammalia; Rodentia; Sciuridae.
GUGGUUGUGGCUCAGUGGUAGAGCACUCGCCUAGCAUGUGCAAAACAUUGGGUUCUAUCCUCAGCACCACA